UAGGGAAUCUUCUACAAUGGACGAAAGUCUGAUGGAGCAACGCCGCGUGAGUGAAGAAGGGUUUCGGCUCGUAAAACUCUGUUGUUAAAGAAGAACAUAUCUGAGAGUAACUGUUCAGGUAUUGACGGUAUUUAACCAGAAAGCCACGGCUAACUACGUGCCAG
RNAcentral lists this ribosomal RNA (164 nucleotides) under uncultured bacterium. RNAcentral's name for it is "partial 16S rRNA". It matches the Rfam family "Bacterial small subunit ribosomal RNA", at positions 355 to 511 of the family's 1533-position model. The record is from RNAcentral.